CCGGGGUGGCGCGCGUCGGCUCCGGCGCGGCUCCCACCGGCGCAGCCCCCGGCCCCUGCCCCGGAGAGGCGCGCACCAACCUUGGGGGGCAGCUUGGCCGCCUAGCCCCGGCUUAGGCGGAGGCGGGAGGUGGCGGCAUCACCUGCGGCGUGCGGCGGCUGCUCCCGGACGUGCCGGGGCGGCGGAGGCGCGCGGCGCACAGGACCCUGCUUCCGCGGCCCCGCCCGCGGCUGCCACCUCGAAGCGCGGCGGAGGAGCCGGGGCACCACGGGCGGCGGCAGCGGCGGCGACGGGAGCAGCAGCACAUGACUCUGUAACGGGGGGAAUUAAACAAAGCGUAACAUGGACUCCGGGCCCGUGCAGGCGCUGCAGCUCCGGGACCAACCGCAGCCAGCGAGCGCCGCGACUGGCUCGGCCGCAGCCAAUGGGGCGGGCUUGGGCCUCCAUGUGAUGGCGAGCUCUCUCCCCCGCCGGCUCUCCCGCGUCUGCCGGAGGUCCGGGCGCUUCCGCCGCCGGGCGUGCUGGCCGGAGGGGCGGCGUAGCGACUUCGGUGGCCCGGGGUCUGACGCUGGCGGCGGGAGGCUGCUGGACUGCGCGCAGGUGCAGCCGGCGGGGAGGGGCAGCCGCCGUAGCUCGCAGUCGCCCCAUCGCUCAGCUGAAGAACGCCCACCUGGACAGGGCGCGGGGCCCGGCGGCCAGUGUCGCCAGGCUGGCGCGAGGCCACCUCAGGAACCUUCAUCCCCCCUGGGGCUAUCCUGUCAACUCAAGCUCUGAUAGUGUAUUUCCCAAGCAUGAACCCCGAAAGCCUUCUGCAUGCAAUUCUUCAUCUCAAAUUUGUUUCCAAGGAACCCAAGGCGCCUCAACAAUAUCUCCUGCUCCACAUAUGCUUCUUACAAUGUGACAUGGACACUCCUCCUGUUGAAAAGUGGGGUUCUGUGUCCCCGCUCCUCUGCCCCUGAACUGGACAAGAUUUACAGUUAUUUCAACCAAUGGCAGAAGUGAUAUCAUAAAAUGUGAGGCACUACGCUUUCUGCCUGUUGGAAUAGUCGCCUCAGAGCCCUAAGCUAUCAUCUAAGAUCUCUGACUACCCUGAAGCUGACAUCCUGUGAGGAAGCCCAGGCUGUAUGGAGAGGCCCAGCUGAGGUUCCAGCCAACAGCCAGAAUCAAAUGCCAGACGUGGGAGUGAAGAUGUCUCCAGAAGAUUCUAGCUUCCAGUCACCGAGUCUUCCCAACUGAGGUCCCAGACAUCAUGGAGCAGAGAUAAGCUGCCUUUGCUGUGCCCUUUCCGAAUUCCCUAUCCACAGAAUCUGGGAGUGUAGUAAAAUAAUUGUUUCACCCUAUUACGUUUUGGGGUGGUUUGUUACAAGGCAAUAGUAAUUGGUACAGUUAUGAAACCAGGAGCCCUAUGUGGUCCCCGAGUCCUCCUGAGAUACUUUGUGGAAGAGUUAGAGCUUCUUGGAAUACUAUUUGAAAACCUCUGGACUAACCAAGGGCUCCAAAUUCCGUGUUUCUAAGAAACCUGGAAUUUAAUAGCUUUAUCAAGAAAGAGAAUUGUCUUGCUCAGUGUUAUGAACUGAAUUGU
Molecule: long non-coding RNA, 1582 nt
Organism: Balaenoptera ricei (Rice's whale)
Lineage: Eukaryota; Metazoa; Chordata; Mammalia; Artiodactyla; Balaenopteridae
Exons: 3
Source: RefSeq, a predicted model, not a curated record